UCGGGGCAUAAUAGAACAUUUUAAUUAGGUAUUACUCUUUGUUCGAUUGAAUGAGAAAAAGUACUCGUUGUAAAUUUAUACUGUUAGGGCGCAAUUGAGUAGCUUAAUGUUGUUCCGGUUUUCGUUCUUGUUAACGUGGACAUCUAAUUUACCCUCUCGGGGCAUAAUAGAACAUUUUAAUUAGGUUUUACUCUUUGUUCGAUAGAAUGAGAAAAAGUACUCAUUUCAAAUUUAUACUGUUAGGGCGGAAUUGAGUAGCUUAAUGUUGUUCCGGUAUUCGUUCUUGUGAACUUGGACAUCUAAUUUACCCUCUCGGGGCAUAAUAGAAUAUUUUAAUUAGGUAUUACUCUUUGUUCGAUUGAAUGAGAAAAAGUACUCGUUGCAAAUUUAUACUGUUAGGGCACAAUUGAGUAGUAUAAUGUUGUUCGGGUUCUCGUUCUUGUGAAUGCGGACAUCUAAUUUACCCUCUCGGGGCAUUAUAGAACAUUUUAAUUUGGUAUUACUCUUUGUUCGAUUGAAUGAGAAAAAGUACUCUUUACAAAUUUAUACUGUUUUGCCGCAAUUGAGUUGUCCAGUUUUUUUCCGGUUUUCGUUGUUGUGAACGUGGACAUCUAAUUUAACCUCUCGGGGCAUAAUAGAAUAUUUUAAUUAGGUUUUACUCUUUGUUCGAUAGAAUGAGAAAA
This 683-nucleotide long non-coding RNA is filed under the name Ananas comosus (pineapple). Its description in RNAcentral is "long non-coding RNA (ACOM_LNC028411)". Lineage: Eukaryota; Viridiplantae; Streptophyta; Magnoliopsida; Poales; Bromeliaceae. The record is from RNAcentral.